RNAcentral lists this ribosomal RNA (254 nucleotides) under uncultured bacterium. RNAcentral's name for it is "partial 16S ribosomal RNA". It matches the Rfam family "Bacterial small subunit ribosomal RNA", at positions 524 to 776 of the family's 1533-position model. The record is from RNAcentral.
UACGUAGGUGGCAAGCGUUGUCCGGAUUUACUGGGCGUAAAGGGCGCGUAGGCGGUCAGCACAGGUCAGUUGUGAAAUCUCCGGGCUUAACUCGGAAAGGUCAACUGAUACUGUGCGACUAGAGUGCAGAAGGGGCAACUGGAAUUCUCGGUGUAGCGGUGAAAUGCGUAGAUAUCGAGAGGAACACCUGCGGCGAAGGCGGGUUGCUGGGCUGACACUGACGCUGAUGCGCGAAAGCCAGGGGAGCGAACGGG